RNAcentral lists this ribosomal RNA (280 nucleotides) under uncultured bacterium. RNAcentral describes it as "partial 16S ribosomal RNA". It matches the Rfam family "Bacterial small subunit ribosomal RNA", at positions 506 to 784 of the family's 1533-position model. The record is from RNAcentral.
UGCCAGCCGCCGGCGGUAAUACAGAGGGUGCAAGCGUUAAUCGGAAUUACUGGGCGUAAAGCGUGCGUAGGCGGAUGCUUAAGUCAGAUGUGAAAGCCCCGGGCUCAACCUGGGAAUUGCAUCUGAUACUGGGCAUCUAGAGUAUGGUAGAGGACAGUGGAAUUUCUGGUGUAGCGGUGAAAUGCGUAGAUAUCAGAAGGAACAUCAGUGGCGAAGGCGGCUGUCUGGGCCAAUACUGACGCUGAGGUACGAAAGCGUGGGUAGCGAACAGGAUUAGAUA